CCAGCCCCUGUGCCCACCACCAUUGCCACUGCACCUGCCCCCACUGCUGCUGUGUCUGCUGCUGCCACCAUGCCCACUGCCACUGUGUCUGUUCCUCCUCCACCUGCUGCAACACAGAGCAGGCUCCAGGUUGCUGCCACUGUGAAGGCCCUGCUGGCGCGGGGGAAGCCUUUGUCUGCUUCACAGCUGGCACAAAAAAUAUUGUCUCCAGCCAAACCCUCUGCAGUGCCACGUUGCCCCCCUUCGUCACAGUCCACAGCCCAGAGACAGCUCUUUACCUGUGGUGAGUAUCAGUUUAUGUGUACAGGUGUGCUGGUGACAUGUGCUUAGUUUUCUAUAUUAUUUUACAGACACUGCUGCUGGGGAUUUUUUUGAGGAGGAAGACGACCAGGAGAUGGUGAUGGUGGCCUCACAGGCUGAGGAACAACUUCCUCAAGAGAAAUGGCACUUAUCAAGUGUCAAGCUACAUUUACUCUUUGAGUGCACUUCAUCAAAGCAAAAAGGGAACUUAAAGGUGUAUGUAAACUGUAUUUCUUUCAUUUUUGUCACAAUCACUGACCAAAGCUCAUUCCUCAUCUCACACCUCCAUUCUUCAUCUCACACCUCCCCUAAGUGUGGCUGCAGAAUGUUGUAGUUUAUAGGUGCUCACAGUAUGUGUUAGAGCUGCUUUGCUUCAUACUUGGCUGAUCCAUCCCACUUUUCUUUUUGUAUUUGACCUAAUGGUGCUUGGGUGAAAAACAGGAUGAUAUUCACAGCUUCCUUCCAUAACUCCAGUGUUUCAUCAUCAUGUCGCCUUGCUACUAAUCAGACAUGCUUUCUACUAAUGGUUGUAGUCGUAGUGGCUGUCCAGCAGUGCUGAGAAAGACAUGCAGUGAAAAUCUUUACAUAAAAACAAUAAACUAAUUGUUUUGUCUCUUCUUGCGCAGCCACUGCUGCCUCAAGAGAGCCUGCUCGCGCCCCUGUUCCUGCCCUGGCCCCGGCCCCUGCUCCUCCAGCUGUGUGGACUCCUGGCCCGGUGUUCCAUCCCCCUGCAGAGCUUCCUGUCCACUGGAAUGAGCACCUCCCAUCAUUCCAGCAAGACUGGAUCAGGAAGACUCUGUUCAGGGCCAACGCUAAAACAGGGAAGCCAGAGCUGAUACCAAAUCCCAACUUCUGGUGUUACCCUCCCCAGCCCCCGACCAUCUUCACUCAGCCUCCUGCCUCUCCUGACCUCUUCUUCUGCCGCCCUCUGUUCCUCUGGAUGCCCCUGAAGAUGUGCUCCAUCCCACUCGUCUGUGUCCAGCCAGCCUGCAAUAACCACAAGUUGACAGCUGCUGGGCUCUACCGCACUGUGCGCAAGGUUCUGGACAUAGAUGGGUGGUAUGAUAUGGCCACAGAGUAUCUAGAGUGCAAGGGGUGCAAGAAGAAGUAUCCAGCUUGGUCUGAGGACAUCCUGGGACAGCUCGACAUGGGACACCGCAGAAAAUUCCCCGCCAUUCUGACAUACAGGUAUAACACAUUCAUGUACGAUGUACAGUGUACGAUAAUGUGUUUGUACUGUAUACAAUAGAAUACAUUGCUUUACUGCCAUUAACAUUAAAAUAAUAAGAUGUGACAUUGAACAGAAUUUUUUGACUGUUUGUAGGUACUCGUGUGACUACCGUGUG
Molecule: long non-coding RNA, 1646 nt
Organism: Acanthochromis polyacanthus (spiny chromis)
Lineage: Eukaryota; Metazoa; Chordata; Actinopteri; Pomacentridae
Exons: 3
Source: RefSeq, a predicted model, not a curated record